Molecule: ribosomal RNA, 255 nt
Filed under: Limosilactobacillus fermentum
Lineage: Bacteria; Bacillati; Bacillota; Bacilli; Lactobacillales; Lactobacillaceae
Description: partial 23S ribosomal RNA
Rfam family: Bacterial large subunit ribosomal RNA
Source: RNAcentral
ACCUGUCCUUAGUACGAGAGGACCGGGAUGGACAUACCGCUGGUGUACCAGUUGUUCCGCCAGGAGCAUCGCUGGGUAGCUAUGUAUGGAUGAGAUAAACGCUGAAAGCAUCUAAGUGUGAAACUCGCCUCAAGAUGAGAUUUCCCAUUCCUUUGGAAGUAAGACCCCACAGAGAUGAUGUGGUAGAUAGGAUGGAAGUGGAAGUGCGGUGACGCAUGGAGCGGACCAUUACUAAUCGGUCGAGGACUUAACCAA